GACGAACGCUGGCGGCGUGCUUAACACAUGCAAGUCGAACGGAAAGGCCUCUUUCGGGGGGUACUCGAGUGGCGAACGGGUGAGUAACACGUGAGUAACCUGCCCUUGACUUUGGGAUAACUUCAGGAGACUGGGGCUAAUACCGGAUAGGAGCUCCUGCUGCAUGGUGGGGGUUGGAAAGUUUCGGCGGUUGGGGAUGGACUCGCGGCUUAUCAGCUUGUUGGUGGGGUAGUGGCUUACCAAGGCUUUGACGGGUAGCCGGCCUGAGAGGGUGACCGGCCACAUUGGGACUGAGAUACGGCCCAGACUCCUACGGGAGGCAGCAGGGGGGAAUAUUGCACAAUGGGUGGAAGCCUGAUGCAGCAACGCCGUGGGCGGGAGGACGGCCUUCGGGUUGUAAACCGCUUUCGCUCAUGACGAAGCUUUGUGUGACGGUAGUGGGUAAAGAAGCACCGGCUAACUACGUG
Molecule: ribosomal RNA, 467 nt
Filed under: uncultured bacterium
Lineage: Bacteria
Description: partial 16S ribosomal RNA
Rfam family: Bacterial small subunit ribosomal RNA
Source: RNAcentral